RNAcentral lists this ribosomal RNA (497 nucleotides) under uncultured bacterium. RNAcentral describes it as "partial 16S ribosomal RNA". It matches the Rfam family "Bacterial small subunit ribosomal RNA", at positions 28 to 507 of the family's 1533-position model. The record is from RNAcentral.
GAUGAACGCUGGCGGCGUGCCUAAUACAUGCAAGUCGAGCGAACAGACGAGGAGCUUGCUCCUCUGACGUUAGCGGCGGACGGGUGAGUAACACGUGGAUAACCUACCUAUAAGACUGGGAUAACUUCGGGAAACCGGAGCUAAUACCGGAUAAUAUAUUGAACCGCAUGGUUCAAUAGUGAAAGACGAUUUUGCUGUCACUUAUAGAUGGAUCCGCGCCGCAUUAGCUAGUUGGUAAGGUAACGGCUUACCAAGGCGACGAUGCGUAGCCGACCUGAGAGGGUGAUCGGCCACACUGGAACUGAGACACGGUCCAGACUCCUACGGGAGGCAGCAGUAGGGAAUCUACCGCAAUGGGCGAAAGCCUGACGGAGCAACGCCGCGUGAGUGAUGAAGGUCUUCGGAUCGUAAAACUCUGUUAUUAGGGAAGAACAAAUGUGUAAGUAACUAUGCACGUCUUGACGGUACCUAAUCAGAAAGCCACGGCUAACUACGUG